This 652-nucleotide small RNA is filed under the name Pongo abelii (Sumatran orangutan). RNAcentral describes it as "processed transcript". The record is from RNAcentral. Lineage: Eukaryota; Metazoa; Chordata; Mammalia; Primates; Hominidae.
GGAGGCCAUGCACAACACCAAGCGCAUGGACUCUGACCCCAGUGCAGUGUCUGUAGGGAAGAGGAGCCAUGGGGCUUCGGGCAGGCCCCAUCCUGCUUCUGCUGCUGUGGCUGCUGCCAGAAUGCGGCCACUCCAAGGAGGCUGGGAGGAUUGUGGGAGGCCAAGACACCCAGGAAGGAUGCUGGCCAUGGCAGGUUGGCCUGUGGUUGACCUCAGUGGGGCACGUAUGUGGGGGCUCCCUCAUCCACCCACGCUGGGUGCUCACGGCCGCCCACUGCUUCCUGAGGGUGACUCCGGGGGGCCGCUGGUCUGCCCCAUCAAUGAUACGUGGAUCCAGGCCGGCAUUGUGAGCUGGGGAUUCGGCUGUGCCCGGCCUUUCCGGCCUGGUGUCUACACCCAGGUGCUAAGCUACACAGACUGGAUUCAGAGAACCCUGGCUGAAUCUCACUCAGGCAUGUCCGGGGACCGCCCAGGUGCCCCCGGGUCCCACUCAGGCACCUCCAGAUCCCACCUAGUGCUGCCGCUUGAGCUGUUGACCGUAUGCUUGCUUGGGUCCCUGUGAACCAUGAGCCAUGGAGUCUGGGAUCCCCCUUCUGGUAGGAUUGAUGGAAUGUAAUAAUAAAAACUGUAAGUUUUUUUAACGUGUAUUUUA